RNAcentral lists this ribosomal RNA (585 nucleotides) under uncultured fungus. RNAcentral describes it as "eukaryotic LSU rRNA". The stretch from base 211 to 364 matches the Rfam family "5.8S ribosomal RNA". Lineage: Eukaryota; Fungi. The record is from RNAcentral.
AGUCGUAACAAGGUCUCCGUAGGUGAACCUGCGGAGGGAUCAUUACACAAAUAUGAAGGCGGGCUGGAACCUCUCGGGGUUACAGCCUUGCUGAAUUAUUCACCCUUGUCUUUUGCGUACUUCUUGUUUCCUUGGUGGGUUCGCCCACCACUAGGACAAACAUAAACCUUUUGUAAUUGCAAUCAGCGUCAGUAACAAAUUAAUAAUUACAACUUUCAACAACGGAUCUCUUGGUUCUGGCAUCGAUGAAGAACGCAGCGAAAUGCGAUAAGUAGUGUGAAUUGCAGAAUUCAGUGAAUCAUCGAAUCUUUGAACGCACAUUGCGCCCUUUGGUAUUCCAAAGGGCAUGCCUGUUCGAGCGUCAUUUGUACCCUCAAGCUUUGCUUGGUGUUGGGCGUCUUGUCUCUAGCUUUGCUGGAGACUCGCCUUAAAGUAAUUGGCAGCCGGCCUACUGGUUUCGGAGCGCAGCACAAGUCGCACUCUCUAUCAGCAAAGGUCUAGCAUCCAUUAAGCCUUUUUUUUCAACUUUUAACCUCGGAUCAGGUAGGGAUACCCGCUGAACUUAAGCAUAUCAAUAAAAAGUCG